CCGGAGGAAGGCGGGGAUGACGUCAAGUCCUCAUGGCCCUUACAUCCCGGGCUACACACGUGCUACAAUGGCAGGUACAGAGGGCUGCAAAGCCGCGAGGUAGAGCGAAUCCCAGAAAACCUGUCUCAGUCCGGAUUGAAGUCUGCAACUCGACUUCAUGAAGGCGGAAUCGCUAGUAACCGCGAAUCAGCAGGUCGCGGUGAAUACGUUCCCGGGCCUU
RNAcentral lists this ribosomal RNA (220 nucleotides) under uncultured Latescibacterota bacterium. RNAcentral's name for it is "uncultured Latescibacteria bacterium partial 16S ribosomal RNA". It matches the Rfam family "Bacterial small subunit ribosomal RNA", at positions 1163 to 1382 of the family's 1533-position model. Lineage: Bacteria; Pseudomonadati; Candidatus Latescibacterota. The record is from RNAcentral.